GGACAAAAGAAAGAGUUACUGUGAAAACCACAACAUCAUUCUGUCAGUGCUGCAUUAAUUUCCCUAGUUUCUUUACUUAUUUACUAUUAUUUACAUUGAAAUCUAUUUGAAAUAGUGCAAUUGAACUCAUUUCACCUAAGUGUCACCUUAAGCCUACAAAGUGCAUUACCAUAACCCUAAAUCUAUUCACAUUGAGAACCUACAUGCAAAGGCAAGCAGAUCGAAGCUCGCAUGACCAUUGAAACAUUGUUCAGCAGCAAGUAUCGCACAACGGGACUAAACGUAAGUCACAAAUGACAAACAUAUAUUUCUAAAAACACUAAAUCGACAUUCAUUA
Molecule: long non-coding RNA, 337 nt
Organism: Aedes aegypti (yellow fever mosquito)
Lineage: Eukaryota; Metazoa; Arthropoda; Insecta; Diptera; Culicidae
Exons: 3
Source: RefSeq, a predicted model, not a curated record